GGAGGAUUGGCCGAGUGGUCUAAGGCGCACGCUUGGAAAGCGUGUAAAGGGCAACCUUUCGAGAGUUCGAAUCUCUUGUCCUCCGCCA
Molecule: transfer RNA, 88 nt
Filed under: Halobacteriovoraceae bacterium
Lineage: Bacteria; Pseudomonadati; Bdellovibrionota; Bacteriovoracia; Bacteriovoracales; Halobacteriovoraceae
Also listed under: 1 other name
Description: tRNA-Ser
Rfam family: tRNA
About the family: Transfer RNA (tRNA) molecules are approximately 80 nucleotides in length. Their secondary structure includes four short double-helical elements and three loops (D, anti-codon, and T loops).
Source: RNAcentral